GCCUGGGUGGCUCAGUCGGUUGAGCGUCCGACUUCGGCUCAGGUCAUGAUCUUAACUGUUGUGGGUUCGAGUCCCGCGUCGGGCU
RNAcentral lists this transfer RNA (85 nucleotides) under Felis catus (domestic cat). It matches the Rfam family "tRNA". From Rfam's summary of the family: Transfer RNA (tRNA) molecules are approximately 80 nucleotides in length. Their secondary structure includes four short double-helical elements and three loops (D, anti-codon, and T loops). Lineage: Eukaryota; Metazoa; Chordata; Mammalia; Carnivora; Felidae. The record is from Rfam by way of RNAcentral.